Pteropus alecto (black flying fox) is the source of this 1140-nucleotide long non-coding RNA. RefSeq lists it as uncharacterized. Lineage: Eukaryota; Metazoa; Chordata; Mammalia; Chiroptera; Pteropodidae. The transcript has 3 exons. The record is from RefSeq and is a predicted model, not a curated record.
AGUAAAACAGACUAAAUCUGUAUGUGUUUCUUGUCCUGGGUCUUUUUUUUUAAAUUCAGCAUUGAGGCCUGGAAAGGAAUUGGGGAAAUCUACCAACAAGACGUUGCCAUUGGGUCAGUGGUUCAGAAAUUGUGUUGGUGGCUUCCCAUCUCCUCAACACCCGACAAAACCCAUCAAACUUUAACUCUGGGAUCCUUGACUCACCACUUAAAAUAGGUAUCAGUCAUCAAGUUCAGAACAGCUGCUAAAUUAGAAAAAAUCCUCAAUUACAACAACAGUUAUGAUGCCACAGAUCUUAACUCUCAUUUUGAUCCACCUUUUAAUUUCCAUUUGAGUCUAAUAACCUUUCUUUUCUUUUCUUUUCUUUUCUUUUUUUUCAGUUUCUUUCUAAGUUACUCAUUUAAAUGGAUGUGAAAGUAACCUGCGUGUGUAUGUGUGUGUAAAGGGAGAUCAGAUCAGAGAAAACAGGCCACACACACAAACAGAAGACUGCUUGCUGGCUUUUCGAACCGUAUGGAGGUGGCUGGAGUGGCAAUUCUUGUCUCCCUGCGGGAAGCCCUCCUCCAGAAAGCAGGAAGGAAGUGACUGGCUGAGCUGUGAGGUGAGCAAGGAUCUCAGUGUGAACAUGGGCCCACUGUCGCCUUCGAUCACCAGAGGCCUCCCUCUGCCUAGCUUCAGAGGUCUCUGUGCUUGGGAGCAUGUGGGGGCCUGGAAGCAACCGACUUCCUGGUGAGGGAACCUUCGCAGACUCACAUCCGGAGAUCCCGGAGCCAGAGCUGCUGUCUGUGCUUCAAUGACUUCUGCAGGCCCUGCAUACGUCACAGGAGAGCCAUCAUCUACCAGGAUCAUCCCAAACUGAAUAGACUGCAGGCAGAGGGAAUGCUGUGGAGAAGGCAAGCUCUCCAGUGAUUUAGUGGUACCUACACAGCUCCUGUCAGUAUUCUGAGGUUAAGGGGUCUGUGUUGUAUUUCUUUGGUAUUCCUACAUAGCGCGCAGGUUCUGGACACAUGCUAGGUGUUCACUAAAGGUUUGCUAAAUAAAUGAAUCACUAAACAGAGUAAAUAGUCAUUCAAACAACUUGUAUGGCCAUUGUGUAAAAUUGUAUAUCAAUAUUAACAAAACCUCGAAGGAAAUUAGGAA